UACGGAGGAUCCGAGCGUUAUCCGGAUUUAUUGGGUUUAAAGGGUGCGCAGGCGGGAGAUUAAGUCGGCGGUGAAAUUUUGCAGCUCAACUGUAAAAGUGCCUUCGAUACUGGUUUCCUUGAGUGUGGAUGAAGUAGGCGGAAUUUGUGGUGUAGCGGUGAAAUGCUUAGAUAUCACGAGGAACUCCGAUUGCGCAGGCAGCUUACUAAACCACUACUGACGCUCAGGCACGAAGGCGUGGGGAUCAAACAGGAUUAGAUACCCUGGUAGUCCACGCAGUAAACGAUGAUUACUGGCUGUUUGCGAUACAAUGUAAGCGGCUGAGCGAAAGCGUUAAGUAAUCCACCUGGGGAGUACGUUCGCAAGAAUGAAACUCAAAGGAAUUGACGGGGGCCCGCACAAGCGGAGGAACAUGUGGUUUAAUUCGAUGAUACGCGAGGAACCUUACCCGGGCUUGAAAUGCGGUGGACCGGCGGAGAGAUCCGCCCUCCCUUCGGGGCCACCGUGUAGGUGCUGCAUGGUU
Molecule: ribosomal RNA, 523 nt
Filed under: uncultured bacterium
Lineage: Bacteria
Description: bacterial SSU rRNA
Rfam family: Bacterial small subunit ribosomal RNA
Source: RNAcentral